GCUUGCUGGGUGGAUCAGUGGCGAACGGGUGAGUAACACGUGAGCAACCUGCCCUUCACUUCGGGAUAAGCCUUGGAAACGGGGUCUAAUACCGGAUAUGAGCGCUCAUCGCAUGGUGGGUGUUGGAAAGUUUUUCGGUGAGGGAUGGGCUCGCGGCCUAUCAGCUUGUUGGUGGGGUAACGGCCUACCAAGGCGUCGACGGGUAGCCGGCCUGAGAGGGCGACCGGCCACACUGGGACUGAGACACGGCCCAGACUCCUACGGGAGGCAGCAGUGGGGAAUAUUGCACAAUGGGCGAAAGCCUGAUGCAGCGACGCCGCGUGAGGGAUGACGGCCUUCGGGUUGUAAACCUCUUUCAGCAGGGAAGAAGCGCAAGUGACGGUACCUGCAGAAGAAGCGCCGGCUAACUACGUGCCAGCAGCCGCGGUAAUACGUAGGGCGCAAGCGUUGUCCGGAAUUAUUGGGCGUAAAGAGCUCGUAGGCGGUCUGUCGCGUCUGGUGUGAAAUCCCAUGGCUCAACUGUGGGCUUGCAUCGGGUACGGGCAGACUAGAGUGCUGUAGGGGAGACUGGAAUUCCUGGUGUAGCGGUGGAAUGCGCAGAUAUCAGGAGGAACACCGAUGGCGAAGGCAGGUCUCUGGGCAGUUACUGACGCUGAGGAGCGAAAGCAUGGGGAGCGAACAGGAUUAGAUACCCUGGUAGUCCAUGCCGUAAACGUUGGGCACUAGGUGUGGGGCCAGUUCCACUGGUUCUGUGCCGUAGCUAACGCAUUAAGUGCCCCGCCUGGGGAGUACGGCCGCAAGGCUAAAACUCAAAGGAAUUGACGGGGGCCCGCACAAGCGGC
RNAcentral lists this ribosomal RNA (842 nucleotides) under Promicromonospora sp. Its description in RNAcentral is "bacterial SSU rRNA". It matches the Rfam family "Bacterial small subunit ribosomal RNA", at positions 78 to 933 of the family's 1533-position model. The record is from RNAcentral. Lineage: Bacteria; Bacillati; Actinomycetota; Actinomycetes; Micrococcales; Promicromonosporaceae.